Long non-coding RNA from Haliotis rufescens (red abalone), 217 nucleotides. RefSeq lists it as uncharacterized. The transcript is spliced from 3 exons. The record is from RefSeq and is a predicted model, not a curated record. NCBI's taxonomy places the organism in Eukaryota, Metazoa, Mollusca, Gastropoda, Lepetellida, Haliotidae.
UCAAGCUCACUAUAGACGUAUUAGAAGUAUACAACCAAGAGAUUGUGCAGCAACUGGAACUGGACAGAUGAUCUGUGAAUUCGGAUGAGGUGGAGAAAACAGUAUUGUGGGAGCAUAUUUGUUUAAAGUACAUCACUGACAGAAAGUUACCAAGGCUUAAGGAGAGACUAUGGAUGCAGUUGAAGAUCAUCCCUGUGACUUUUCAUUAGAGGACUGA